CCUACGGGAGGCAGCAGCGGGGAAUAUUGGACAAUGGGCGAAAGCCUGAUCCAGCCAUGCCGCGUGUGUGAAGAAGGCCUUCGGGUUGUAAAGCACUUUCAGUGGGGAAGAAAGCCUUGGGGCUAAUACCCUCGAGGAAGGACAUCACCCACAGAAGAAGCACCGGCUAACUCCGUGCCAGCAGCCGCGGUAAUACGGAGGGUGCGAGCGUUAAUCGGAAUUACUGGGCGUAAAGCGCGCGUAGGCGGUCUGAUAAGCCGGUUGUGAAAGCCCCGGGCUCAACCUGGGAACGGCAUCCGGAACUGUCAGGCUAGAGUGCAGGAGAGGAAGGUAGAAUUCCCGGUGUAGCGGUGAAAUGCGUAGAGAUCGGGAGGAAUACCAGUGGCGAAGGCGGCCUUCUGGACUGACACUGACGCUGAGGUGCGAAAGCGUGGGUAGCAAACAGGAUUAGAUACCCUAGUAGUC
RNAcentral lists this ribosomal RNA (465 nucleotides) under Vreelandella stevensii. RNAcentral's name for it is "partial 16S ribosomal RNA". It matches the Rfam family "Bacterial small subunit ribosomal RNA", at positions 338 to 795 of the family's 1533-position model. The record is from RNAcentral. Lineage: Bacteria; Pseudomonadati; Pseudomonadota; Gammaproteobacteria; Oceanospirillales; Halomonadaceae.